Fukomys damarensis (Damara mole-rat) is the source of this 107-nucleotide small nuclear RNA. Lineage: Eukaryota; Metazoa; Chordata; Mammalia; Rodentia; Bathyergidae. The record is from Ensembl.
GUGUCCCCUUUGGCAGCAUAUGCACUAAAAUUGGUAGGAUACAGAGGAGAUGAGUGCAGCCCCUGAGCAAAGAUGGCACACAAGUCCAUGAAGCAUUCUGUGUUUUC